Molecule: ribosomal RNA, 253 nt
Filed under: uncultured bacterium
Lineage: Bacteria
Description: partial 16S ribosomal RNA
Rfam family: Bacterial small subunit ribosomal RNA
Source: RNAcentral
UACGUAGGGUGCAAGCGUUAAUCGGAAUUACUGGGCGUAAAGCGUGCGCAGGCGGUGAUGUAAGACAGUUGUGAAAUCCCCGGGCUCAACCUGGGAACUGCAUCUGUGACUGCAUCGCUGGAGUACGGUAGAGGGGGAUGGAAUUCCGCGUGUAGCAGUGAAAUGCGUAGAUAUGCGGAGGAACACCGAUGGCGAAGGCAAUCCCCUGGACCUGUAUUGACGCUCAUGCACGAAAGCGUGGGGAGCAAACAGG